RNAcentral lists this ribosomal RNA (499 nucleotides) under uncultured bacterium. Its description in RNAcentral is "partial 16S ribosomal RNA". It matches the Rfam family "Bacterial small subunit ribosomal RNA", at positions 28 to 507 of the family's 1533-position model. The record is from RNAcentral.
GACGAACGCUGGCGGCGUGCCUAAUACAUGCAAGUCGAGCGAAGUUUUUCUGGUGCUUGCACCGGAAAAACUUAGCGGCGAACGGGUGAGUAACACGUAAAGAACCUGCCUCAUAGACUGGGACAACUAUUGGAAACGAUAGCUAAUACCGGAUAAUAGCAUUAACUGCAUGGUUGAUGUUUAAAAGUUGGUUUUGCUAACACUAUGAGAUGGCUUUGCGGUGCAUUAGCUAGUUGGUGGGGUAAAGGCCUACCAAGGCGACGAUGCAUAGCCGACCUGAGAGGGGGAUCGGCCACACGGGGACUGAGACACGGCCCAGACGCCUACGGGAGGCAGCAGUAGGGAAUCUUCCGCAAUGGGCGAAAGCCUGACGGAGCAACGCCGCGUGAGUGAAGAAGGAUUUCGGUUCGUAAAGCUCUGUUGUUAGGGAAGAAUGAUUGUGUAGUAACUAUACACAGUAGAGACGGUACCUAACCAGAAAGCCACGGCUAACUACGUG